GUGCAAGAUGCCGCUGCCGGUUCAGGUGUUUAACUUGCAGCAGUAGGUCAGACCUCGUCCUGCCCGGCACGGCCGGGGACUUCAGCCUGAGCGCCAGCCUGUCGGCCUGUACGCUGCUCUACGAGCCCAGUAUUGCUGCUCCGCUGCUCAGGACAGAUUCCGGGGGCUGGUCCUCCUGCCUCCUGGGGUUGAGGUGGCGUCCCGUUCUUCUCCGUGGCUUGGAGGAAACUACAUCAGGAUGGUGGCUGGGAACGUGUAGGGGCCCUCAGAGGCCCCUGUGUAGUUGGUUGUCCCCUGUCUACUUUCUGGCUUUCAGAGAUGAGCGGCUAGAAUCAAGCGAGGGGUUUCUGCUUCUGAGCCUUAGAGUCUUGUGAGGAGACCCCUCCCUGAUGUGCUGGCAUAGGAGCCUGGGUGGGGGCGAAGGUGACUGGGAGGGCACACCUGGGGGACAGCAGCGGCGGGAGCGUGGUCCCAUUGGCCUGGAAGAUCUCGGGCACAGCUGACCUCAGAGAACAGUGCGGGUCUCUCGCCUUCC
This 535-nucleotide small RNA is filed under the name Pongo abelii (Sumatran orangutan). Its description in RNAcentral is "processed transcript". Lineage: Eukaryota; Metazoa; Chordata; Mammalia; Primates; Hominidae. The record is from RNAcentral.